Molecule: non-coding RNA, 26 nt
Filed under: Homo sapiens (human)
Lineage: Eukaryota; Metazoa; Chordata; Mammalia; Primates; Hominidae
Source: RNAcentral
UGACAGUGGAUUCGAGUGAUGCAAGG